GGCGAGGUAGCUCAGCUGGUUAGAGCGUCGGAGUCAUAAUCCGGAGGUCGUGGGAUCAUGCCCCACUCUCGCUA
Molecule: transfer RNA, 74 nt
Filed under: Bacteroidales bacterium
Lineage: Bacteria; Pseudomonadati; Bacteroidota; Bacteroidia; Bacteroidales
Description: tRNA-Met
Rfam family: tRNA
About the family: Transfer RNA (tRNA) molecules are approximately 80 nucleotides in length. Their secondary structure includes four short double-helical elements and three loops (D, anti-codon, and T loops). Further hydrogen bonds mediate the characteristic L-shaped molecular structure. tRNAs have two regions of fundamental functional importance: the anti-codon, which is responsible for specific mRNA codon recognition, and the 3' end, to which the tRNAs corresponding amino acid is attached (by aminoacyl-tRNA synthetases). tRNAs cope with the degeneracy of the genetic code in two manners: having more than one tRNA (with a specific anti-codon) for a particular amino acid; and 'wobble' base-pairing, i.e. permitting non-standard base-pairing at the 3rd anti-codon position.
Source: RNAcentral